AGAGUUUGAUCCUGGCUCAGAGCGAACGCUGGCGGCGUGCUUAACACAUGCAAGUCGAGUGCGCAGCUUCCUGUAGCAAUACAGGGAGUGGGCGCACGGCGCACGGGUGCGUAACACGUGGGCAAUCUGCCCUCGGAUGGGGGAUAACCCCGCGAAAGCGGGGCUAAUACCGCAUGACAUUCCGAAGACUCCGGUCUUUGGACUCAAAGGCCGCAAGGCCGUCUGAGGAGGAGCCCGCGCCCGAUUAGCUAGUUGGUGAGGUAACGGCUCACCAAGGCUUUGAUCGGUAGCCGGUCUGAGAGGAUGGCCGGCCACACUGGAACUGAGACACGGUCCAGACUCCUACGGGAGGCAGCAGUGGGGAAUAUUGCGCAAUGGGCGAAAGCCUGACGCAGCGACGCCGCGUGGGGGAUGAAGCUUCUCGGAGUGUAAACCCCUUUCGACCCGGACGAAUGACCCGCAAGGGUUUGACGGUACGGGUAUAAGAAGCCCCGGCUAACUACGUGCCAGCAGCCGCGGUAAUACGUAGGGGGCCAGCGUUGCUCGGAAUUACUGGGCGUAAAGGGUUCGUAGGUGGUGCGGCAAGUUGGAAGUGAAAUCUCUGGGCUUAACCCAGAGGCUGCUUUCAAAACUGCCGUGCUCGAGUGCGAGAGAGGCCAGUGGAAUUGCAGGUGUAGCGGUGAAAUGCGUAGAUAUCUGCAGGAACACCCGUGGCGAAGGCGGCUGGCUGGAUCGCAACUGACACUGAGGAACGAAAGCUAGGGGAGCAAACAGGAUUAGAUACCCU
Molecule: ribosomal RNA, 787 nt
Filed under: uncultured soil bacterium
Lineage: Bacteria
Description: bacterial SSU rRNA
Rfam family: Bacterial small subunit ribosomal RNA
Source: RNAcentral